GUGGCCAUAGUGUAGCGGUAACACAACAGCUUGUGGAGCUGUUAUCACGGGUUCGAACCCCGUUGGCCACCCCA
RNAcentral lists this transfer RNA (74 nucleotides) under bacterium (Candidatus Howlettbacteria) CG_4_10_14_0_8_um_filter_40_9. Its description in RNAcentral is "tRNA-His". It matches the Rfam family "tRNA". Rfam says of the family: Transfer RNA (tRNA) molecules are approximately 80 nucleotides in length. Their secondary structure includes four short double-helical elements and three loops (D, anti-codon, and T loops). The record is from RNAcentral.